This 760-nucleotide ribosomal RNA is filed under the name uncultured Clostridiaceae bacterium. RNAcentral describes it as "bacterial SSU rRNA". It matches the Rfam family "Bacterial small subunit ribosomal RNA", at positions 8 to 795 of the family's 1533-position model. Lineage: Bacteria; Bacillati; Bacillota; Clostridia; Eubacteriales; Clostridiaceae. The record is from RNAcentral.
AGAGUUUGAUUCUGGCUCAGGACGAACGCUGGCGGCGUGCCUAACACAUGCAAGUCGAGCGAGGUGUAUACACAUAGCGGCGGACGGGUGAGUAACACGUGGGUAACCCGCCUCAGAGAGGGGAAUAGCCUUCCGAAAGGAAGAUUAAUACCGCAUAAUAUACGCAUUUAGCAUUAUGAGCGUAUCAAAGGAGAAAUCCGCUUUGAGAUGGGCCCGCGGCGCAUUAGCUAGUUGGAGAGGUAACGGCUCACCAAGGCGACGAUGCGUAGCCGACCUGAGAGGGUGAUCGGCCACAUUGGAACUGAGACACGGUCCAGACUCCUACGGGAGGCAGCAGUGGGGAAUAUUGCACAAUGGGGGAAACCCUGAUGCAGCAACGCCGCGUGAAUGAUGAAGGCCUUCGGGUCGUAAAGUUCUUUGAUUGGGGACGAUAAUGACGGUACCCAAAAAACAAACCACGGCUAACUACGUGCCAGCAGCCGCGGUAAUACGUAGGUGGCGAGCGUUGUCCGGAUUUACUGGGCGUAAAGGAUGCGUAGGUGGAAAUUUAAGUGGGAUGUGAAAUCCCCGGGCUCAACCCGGGAACUGCAUUCCAAACUGGGUUUCUUGAGUGCAGGAGAGGAGAGCGGAAUUCCUAGUGUAGCGGUGAAAUGCGUAGAUAUUAGGAAGAACACCAGUGGCGAAGGCGGCUUUCUGGACUGUAACUGACACUGAGGCAUGAAAGCGUGGGGAGCAAACAGGAUUAGAUACCCUGGUAGUC